AAAAUUGGCUAUUCUGGGGCGUGGCUAGGCUGCCGAAGGAGAUGGCCGCUUGAGUGAAGGGCUCCUGCACCUCAGCGACUGUAACCUUGCUAGCCCGUCUUAAUCCAGCACACAGCAGCAU
Long non-coding RNA from Bufo bufo (common toad), 121 nucleotides. RefSeq lists it as uncharacterized. The transcript has 3 exons. NCBI's taxonomy places the organism in Eukaryota, Metazoa, Chordata, Amphibia, Anura, Bufonidae. The record is from RefSeq and is a predicted model, not a curated record.